UUCUUUUGCUUAGAUAAAACAGAGCGAAAAUGCGAAAAAAAAGGAAAAAGCUAAAAAAAAGAACCAAACAACCCUAUCCAUGGUACCAAACAACCUCUAUUCCAGAUACUAUUCCAGCCAAGAAUGCCUGCAGCCAACCACCCUAUUCCUGCAGCCAACCACCCUUAUCCCUGCACCCAAGCACCACCCCUCAGCACAAAUUAACCCCCCAACCCUAAAAUUUUAAAACAUUUUUCUUUCAUUUUCCCACAAAACCAUCAUAUCCCGCCA
This 270-nucleotide long non-coding RNA is filed under the name Gossypium raimondii (Peruvian cotton). RNAcentral describes it as "long non-coding RNA (GRAI_LNC002761)". Lineage: Eukaryota; Viridiplantae; Streptophyta; Magnoliopsida; Malvales; Malvaceae. The record is from RNAcentral.